UAUCAACUUUCGAUGGUAGGAUAGAGGCCUACCAUGGUGGUAACGGGUAACGGGGUGUUAGGGCACGACACCGGAGAGGGAGCCUGAGAAACGGCUACCACAUCCAAGGAUGGCAGCAGGCGCGCAAAUUACCCAAUCCCGACACGGGGAGGUAGUGACAAUAAAUAACAAUACGGGGUUCUUUCGGAUCUCGUAAUUGGAAUGAGUACAAUUUAAAUCUCUUAACGAGGAACAAUUGGAGGGCAAGUCUGGUGCCAGCAGCCGCGGUAAUUCCAGCUCCAAUAGCGUAUAUUAAAGUUGUUGCAGUUAAAAAGCUCGUAGUUGAAUUUCGGGAUCAGUAGGUCGGUCAUGCCUAUGGUAUGUACUGGCUUUACUGAUUCCUCCUUCUUGAUGAUCUGUAAUGUCAUUAAUUUGGUGUUGCAGGGAGUCAGGACUGUUACUUUGAAAAAAUUAGAGUGUUUAAAGCAGGCAUACGCUUGAAUACAUUAGCAUGGAAUAAUGAAAUAGGACGUUCGAUCCUAUUUUGUUGGUUUCUAGGAUUGACGUAAUGAUUAAUAGGGAUAGUUGGGGGCAUUAGUAUUCAAUUGUCAGAGGUGAAAUUCUUGGAUUUAUUGAAGACUAACUACUGCGAAAGCAUUUGCCAAGGAUGUUUUCAUUAAUCAAGAACGAAAGUUAGGGGAUCGAAGACGAUCAGAUACCGUCGUAGUCUUAACCAUAAACUAUGCCGACUAGGGAUCGGAUGAUGUUAUUUUUAAUGACUCAUUCGGCGCCUUACGGGAAACCAAAGUGUUUGGGUUC
Molecule: ribosomal RNA, 798 nt
Filed under: uncultured Glomus
Lineage: Eukaryota; Fungi; Glomeromycota; Glomeromycetes; Glomerales; Glomeraceae
Description: SSU rRNA
Rfam family: Eukaryotic small subunit ribosomal RNA
Source: RNAcentral